GCCGGGAUGGCGGAACUGGUAGACGCGUUGGACUUAAAAUCCAAUUCUCAGUAAUGGGAGUGCGGGUUCGAUUCCCGCUCCCGGUA
Molecule: transfer RNA, 86 nt
Filed under: Bacteroidota bacterium
Lineage: Bacteria; Pseudomonadati; Bacteroidota
Description: Bacteroidetes bacterium (hydrothermal vent metagenome) tRNA-Leu
Rfam family: tRNA
About the family: Transfer RNA (tRNA) molecules are approximately 80 nucleotides in length. Their secondary structure includes four short double-helical elements and three loops (D, anti-codon, and T loops). Further hydrogen bonds mediate the characteristic L-shaped molecular structure. tRNAs have two regions of fundamental functional importance: the anti-codon, which is responsible for specific mRNA codon recognition, and the 3' end, to which the tRNAs corresponding amino acid is attached (by aminoacyl-tRNA synthetases). tRNAs cope with the degeneracy of the genetic code in two manners: having more than one tRNA (with a specific anti-codon) for a particular amino acid; and 'wobble' base-pairing, i.e. permitting non-standard base-pairing at the 3rd anti-codon position.
Source: RNAcentral